UUCCUCUCUAGGUAGGGCCCAAGAGCAAAUUAGGCAGGAGGGAGGGAGAAAAGACUUUUCCUCUCUAGGUAGGGCCCAAGAGCAAAUUAUACAGGGGCCAAUAGUAAUCCUCCAAAAUGAUUAGCCUCGACCUUGUACUUUUACUAUAGACUUCAAUAUUUACCUUAAAUUUUGAGUCCCAAUUGGUGAAACUUUUUAACAACCCA
RNAcentral lists this long non-coding RNA (206 nucleotides) under Glycine max (soybean). Its description in RNAcentral is "long non-coding RNA (GMAX_LNC001255)". The record is from RNAcentral. Lineage: Eukaryota; Viridiplantae; Streptophyta; Magnoliopsida; Fabales; Fabaceae.